UGAGGAAUAUUGGUCAAUGGACGAGAGUCUGAACCAGCCAAGUAGCGUGCAGGAUGACGGCCCUAUUGGUUGUAAACUGCUUUUGUUUGGGAAUAAUCGACAUUACGUGUAAUGUUUUGCAUGUACCAUUCGAAUAAGGACCGGCUAAUUCCGUGCCAGCAGCCGCGGUAAUACGGAAGGUCCAGGCGUUAUCCGGAUUUAUUGGGUUUAAAGGGAGUGUAGGCGGUUGGUUAAGCGUGUUGUGAAAUGUAGAUGCUAAACAUCUGACUUGGAGCGCGAACUGGCUGACUUGAGUACACACAACGUAGGCGGAAUUCAGGGUGUAGCGGUGAAAUGCUUAGAUAUCAUGAAGAAAUCCGAUUGCGAAGGCAGCUUACGGGAGUGUUACUGAAGCAUAAGCUGGAAGGAGCGGGUAUCGAACAGG
Molecule: ribosomal RNA, 424 nt
Filed under: Verrucomicrobiota bacterium
Lineage: Bacteria; Pseudomonadati; Verrucomicrobiota
Description: Verrucomicrobia bacterium partial 16S ribosomal RNA
Rfam family: Bacterial small subunit ribosomal RNA
Source: RNAcentral